GGAUGUGAGGGUGAUCUGGCUUCGACAUCUGUCACCCCAUUGAUCGCCAGGGUUGAUUUGGCUGAUCUGGUUGGCUAGGCUAGUGUCAGCCUUUAUCCCUCACUAUUCCAUGUGUGUCCCUCCCGAAGCUGCACGCUUGGAGAAGACGGCCUUCCCCGAAUAGAGAUGGACCAGUCUUCGGUCAAGGGUAUAUGAGUAGCUGUGCUCCCCUGCUAGAACAUCCAAACAAGCGCUCAAAAAUGGGAAAAAUGGCCUCCAGAAGCAGUGGAUUUGUAGUGCAGGAACCAAGGCCCAGCGAUAACCCU
Molecule: non-coding RNA, 305 nt
Organism: Erinaceus europaeus (western European hedgehog)
Lineage: Eukaryota; Metazoa; Chordata; Mammalia; Eulipotyphla; Erinaceidae
Source: Rfam